This 634-nucleotide ribosomal RNA is filed under the name uncultured bacterium. RNAcentral's name for it is "bacterial SSU rRNA". The stretch from base 1 to 544 matches the Rfam family "Bacterial small subunit ribosomal RNA", at positions 338 to 873 of the family's 1533-position model. The record is from RNAcentral.
CCUACGGGAGGCAGCAGUAGGGAAUCUUCCGCAAUGGGCGAAAGCCUGACGGAGCAACGCCGCGUGAGUGAUGAAGGUCUUCGGAUCGUAAAACUCUGUUAUCAGGGAAGAACAAAUGUGUAAGUAACUGUGCACAUCUUGACGGUACCUGAUCAGAAAGCCACGGCUAACUACGUGCCAGCAGCCGCGGUAAUACGUAGGUGGCAAGCGUUAUCCGGAAUUAUUGGGCGUAAAGCGCGCGUAGGCGGUUUUUUAAGUCUGAUGUGAAAGCCCACGGCUCAACCGUGGAGGGUCAUUGGAAACUGGAAAACUUGAGUGCAGAAGAGGAAAGUGGAAUUCCAUGUGUAGCGGUGAAAUGCGCAGAGAUAUGGAGGAACACCAGUGGCGAAGGCGACUUCUGGUCUGUAACUGACGCUGAUGUGCGAAAGCGUGGGGAUCAAACAGGAUUAGAUACCCUGGUAGUCCACGCCGUAAACGAUGAGUGCUAAGUGUUAGGGGUUUCCGCCCCUUAGUGCUGCGNGCGUACGACGAUAGCGACGCCGUCCGUCGGGUAGUUACGACCGACGAAGGUUAGUAACGUUACGAAGAGUAGUUAGGCGNGAGAGAGCGACGACGACGACGACGGAGGAGGAGG